RNAcentral lists this ribosomal RNA (260 nucleotides) under uncultured Cryptobacterium sp. RNAcentral describes it as "partial 16S ribosomal RNA". It matches the Rfam family "Bacterial small subunit ribosomal RNA", at positions 96 to 354 of the family's 1533-position model. Lineage: Bacteria; Bacillati; Actinomycetota; Coriobacteriia; Eggerthellales; Eggerthellaceae. The record is from RNAcentral.
UGGCGAACGGGUGAGUAUCACGUGACCAACCUGCCUCUUACAUUGGGACAACCAAAAGAAAUUCUGGCUAAUACCAAAUACUCCGCACAUAUCACAUGAUGUAUGCGGGAAAGCUUUUGCGGUAAGAGAUGGGGUCGCGGCCCAUUAGGUAGACGGCGGGGUAGAAGCCCACCGUGCCGAUGAUGGGUAGCCGGGUUGAGAGACCGACCGGCCACAUUGGGACUGAGAUACGGCCCAGACUCCUACGGGAGGCAGCAGGG